Molecule: long non-coding RNA, 210 nt
Organism: Dendroctonus ponderosae (mountain pine beetle)
Lineage: Eukaryota; Metazoa; Arthropoda; Insecta; Coleoptera; Curculionidae
Exons: 2
Source: RefSeq, a predicted model, not a curated record
AGGACGGGCGCCGCUGCUCGGCCCGUUUGUUAUCGAACGACGCUCCAGUCUGUUCACCUGCAAACGACCAAACUGUGAAUUGGCAAAAUUUCCAGGUCUACAGUAACGACAUUGAAAAAGUAUCGGAAGGAUCGGGAGUGGAGCUACGUUAUAGGAGAAAAACACUAAACUAGAUGUACAACAAUUGCAAAAAGCAGAUAAGCUAACAUA